AAAUUGAAGAGUUUGAUCAUGGCUCAGAUUGAACGCUGGCGGCAGGCCUAACACAUGCAAGUCGAACGGUAGCACAGAGAGCUUGCUCUCGGGUGACGAGUGGCGGACGGGUGAGUAAUGUCUGGGAAACUGCCUGAUGGAGGGGGAUAACUACUGGAAACGGUGGCUAAUACCGCAUAAUGUCGCAAGACCAAAGAGGGGGACCUUCGGGCCUCUUGCCAUCAGAUGUGCCCAGAUGGGAUUAGCUAGUUGGUGAGGUAACGGCUCACCAAGGCGACGA
Molecule: ribosomal RNA, 280 nt
Filed under: Salmonella enterica
Lineage: Bacteria; Pseudomonadati; Pseudomonadota; Gammaproteobacteria; Enterobacterales; Enterobacteriaceae
Also listed under: 1 other name
Description: partial 16S ribosomal RNA
Rfam family: Bacterial small subunit ribosomal RNA
Source: RNAcentral